ACCAGACUUGCCCUCCAAUAGAUCCUCGUUAAAGGAUUUAAAUUGUACCCAUUCCGAUGACAGACCUCGAAGAGGACUGUCUCGUUAUUUUUCGUCACUACCUCUCCGUUCUGGAAGUGGGUAAUUUGCGCGCCUGCUGCCUUCCUUGGAUGUGGUAGCCGUUUCUCAGGCUCCCUCUCCGGAAUAGAACCCUAAUUCCCCGUUACCCGUUGAAACCAUUGUAGACCACUACUCUACAAUCGAAAGUUGAUAGGGCAGAAAUUUGAAUGAACCAUCGCCGGCACAAGGCCAUGCGAUUCGUUAAGUUAUUAUGAAUCACCAAGGAGCCCCGAAGGGCAUUGGUUUUUUAUCUAAUAAAUACACCCCUUCCGAAGUCGAGGUUUUUAGCAUGUAUUAGCUCUAGAAUUACCACGGUUAUCCAAGUAGUAAGGUACUAUCAAAUAAACGAUAACUGAUUUAAUGAGCCAUUCGCAGUUUCACCGUAUAGAUUGCUUAUACUUAGACAUGCAUGGCUUAAUCUUUGAGACAAGCAUAUGACUACUGGCAGGAUCAACCAG
Molecule: ribosomal RNA, 557 nt
Filed under: uncultured eukaryote
Lineage: Eukaryota
Description: partial 18S ribosomal RNA
Source: RNAcentral